Molecule: ribosomal RNA, 433 nt
Filed under: uncultured bacterium
Lineage: Bacteria
Description: partial 16S ribosomal RNA
Rfam family: Bacterial small subunit ribosomal RNA
Source: RNAcentral
AACGAACGCUGGCGGCAUGCCUAACACAUGCAAGUCGAACGAGACCUUCGGGUCUAGUGGCGCACGGGUGCGUAACGCGUGGGAACCUGCCCUUAGGUUCGGAAUAACUCCCCGAAAGGGGUGCUAAUACCGGAUAAUGUCUUCGGACCAAAGAUUUAUCGACUUUGGAUGGGCCCGCGUUGGUUUAGCUAGUUGGUAGGGUAAAAGCCUACCAAGGCGACGAUCCAUAGCUGGUCUGAGAGGAUGAUCAGCCACACUGGGACUGAGACACGGCCCAGACUCCUACGGGAGGCAGCAGUGGGGAAUAUUGGAAAAUGGGCGAAAGCCUGAUCCAGCAAUGCCGCGUGAGUGAUGAAGGCCUUAGGGUUGUAAAGCUCUUUUACCCGGGAUGAUAAUGACAGUACCGGGAGAAUAAGCUCCGGCUAACUCCGUG